This 252-nucleotide ribosomal RNA is filed under the name uncultured bacterium. Its description in RNAcentral is "partial 16S ribosomal RNA". It matches the Rfam family "Bacterial small subunit ribosomal RNA", at positions 524 to 776 of the family's 1533-position model. The record is from RNAcentral.
UACAGAGGGUGCGAGCGUUAAUCGGAAUUACUGGGCGUAAAGCGCGCGUAGGCGGCUUUGCAAGUCGGGUGUGAAAUCCCCAGGCUUAACCUGGGAACUGCAUUCGAGACUGCAUUGCUAGAGUAUGGGAGAGGGAAGUGAAUUUCCGGUGUAGCGGUGAAAUGCGUAGAUAUCGGAAGGAACAUCAGUGGCGAAAGCGGCGCACUGGACCAUAACUGACGCUGAGGCGCGAAAGCUAGGGGAGCAAACAGG